Molecule: long non-coding RNA, 305 nt
Filed under: Setaria viridis
Lineage: Eukaryota; Viridiplantae; Streptophyta; Magnoliopsida; Poales; Poaceae
Description: long non-coding RNA (SVIR_LNC005412)
Source: RNAcentral
CACAAGCUCUCAACUUUCCAUUUUUCUUGACAACGGGUACAAUGUUUGAAACCCACUUCGCAUAACGGCAAGGUCUGAUAAACUUAGCUUCAUACAAUCGGGUGAUUUCAACCUUGAUAUCUUCUAACAACUCUACCUUGAAUCUUCUUGCCGACUGCUUGAACGGCAGAUAACCCGGUUCGAUAGGUAGCCGAUGUUCCACAAUGGUAUGGCUCAAUCCUGGCAUCUCAUAAUAUUCCCACGCAAAAAAAUCUCGAUAUUCCUUUAACAAUGCUAUCAAUUUUUACUUGAACUCAGGAGGCAGC